This 32-nucleotide non-coding RNA is filed under the name Rattus norvegicus (Norway rat). Lineage: Eukaryota; Metazoa; Chordata; Mammalia; Rodentia; Muridae. The record is from RNAcentral.
UAAAAGCCCAUACCAGUUUCUUUUGUUAGUGU